Molecule: ribosomal RNA, 253 nt
Filed under: uncultured bacterium
Lineage: Bacteria
Description: partial 16S ribosomal RNA
Rfam family: Bacterial small subunit ribosomal RNA
Source: RNAcentral
UACGAAGGGGGCGAGCAUUAUCCGGAAUUAUUGGGCGUAAAGAGCGUGUAGGCGGUCCUACAAGUCGGUCGUUAAAUCUCAGAGCUUAACUCUGAGACCGCGAGCGAUACUGUAGGAAUUGAGGUUUUCAGGGGCAAGCAGAAUUUCUGGAGUAGGGGUGAAAUCCGUUGAUACCAGAAGGAAUACCAAUGGCGAAGGCAGCUUGCUAGGAAACACCUGACACUGAGACGCGAAAGCGUGGGGAGCAAACGGG